This 25431-nucleotide long non-coding RNA is filed under the name Xyrichtys novacula (pearly razorfish). The record is from RNAcentral. Lineage: Eukaryota; Metazoa; Chordata; Actinopteri; Labriformes; Labridae.
CACUUCCACUUGUGGUUUUGGGUUACUUGGAAGCAAUUUAGAGAUGCACUCUCCACUCUGGAUCCUGCUCCCUUUUUCUCUAAGCGCGACAGUCGGGGUCCGUUAGCUCUUCACGCUGCUCUCACAUCUGUGCCCAGUAACUUUGAAUACUUUCAAGACCAGUCUGAGAUGGUAAAUAAUGUUUGGCAGUGGUUAUGCCAAAGAAGAUCCUGACAGGGUGAGACAAGAAGACCUAACUGGAGGAAACUUAUCACUACAGAUUGUUGCACACCGGCGAAUUGGUAAAGCGACGCAAAAAGCGAUGCGAAAACGCAAAAUAUUCAGCCUACGCCUUUUUCUAUACACACCUGGUGCGACGCGAAUAAAAUUCGCAUACUCGCAUAAAAAUAUGCCAUGGGAGAACAGAGGGGGACAGAGAAGAAGGAGAAACAAUGGCGACUACAUCCUCAAGUGAUGAUGACCUGGUCAUGUUUAUAAGAAGAAUCAAAGUGUCUUGGUACAUCCAAUACUGACCUCGCAACAGGAGAUGAGGGAGCUCCACACAACGAUUCAGGAGCUUAAAUUUCAAUUUCAAGAACUGCUCCAUCAGCUGACUCCACGUUUGCAGAAGGUUAGAACAGAUUACAGAGAGCCGAUUGAUCCAGAGCAACAACUUACCACAUGUCUGAGGUAAGAUUUAUAUUAGGCUAUAGAUUUAUACAGCAGUUCACCUGCAAAUGUUCGCAAAAUUCGCUGGUGACGUCACACUAAAUGAUUGACUGGAAGGGGGUUGGAUGACGUGAAAGAUUGUGGUUGGUCCGGACAAAUUACAGAAGUGGGAUUAGGUUUCAUCGGAUUGUAGUUCUUCGGAUAAAACAUGGACGAAUUUUACGAAGAAAUCUAUCGCUACUUAUCAAAAGGGGGAUUACAACAGCUGGACUACCACCUCUUUUAGGUUGCUAAAGGAAAUGUGGAAUAAAAGCAAAACUGUCUAUUGAUAAAUGGAGAUCCUGGGUACAUACUGUAUUUUUUUUUCCCAUUUAGAAAAGUUAACAUAUACAAUUAAAGUCAUCUAAAAAAAAAAAAAAAAUACAGCAAAGUAAGUUGUAAUUCUCUGUAUUAAAUGGAGACAAAGGUUCAACAUGAAUUUAAUAAACAAAUAGAAAAAAAUAAAACUGCAAGAGUUUUUUUUACUGAGCACAUUUGAUUUAUCGAUUGCAGCGCAAUGUAGUUUGUCCCAGUGGACUUUCCAUCUUCAACAGGUGCUGGGCCCCGAGCCGAUCUGGCAGCCAGCGCACAUCUGGUACCAACACCGGAUCUGUCCAACAGGGCACCUUGGAGAAAGACUCCAACUGAUGACCCUGCAGCUAAUGCUUGAUGCUCUUUCGUUUGUUUUCUAGUUAUUGUUGAACUCCUGCAAAAACGUGGUUUUGUGAGAGCUUUCCUCGAAGGCAGCUGAGGGCUUAAUAUUCCUGUUGCAACAUUUUAUCUGCUGAGUGAUCCAUUUUAUUUAAAUGAGUCAACGCUAAUGUGAAGAUUAUUCACUGACACAGGCCUCCUGGGCGUACCUGACCUGCCAUCACUCUCUGUCUGCUCUCUGAAGUACAUGCUAUCCAUCUCACCUCACCCCUCCCGCUCUUUGCCUCCCACAGUAUUUGGUUUCAUGCCUUAUCCAAAUGUCAUGCCUCGGCUUGCUUAUACAGUUACCUUUGGUAACUUUUCCACUUUCAGCCUUUGGAGGAAAGAAAGUGAGUAAGCCGAGCAGAAACAGACCAAAUCUCACAGUUAUUUUUAAAGUAAGCUAAAGUACGGCUUUAACCUUUUUUUUUUUUUUUGCAUGUGUGGCAUGGUUUCUGACAGUAGUGGGUGUUGAUUGGUUGGCUAACACCUCUGACUUCUCUGGCUUCCCUCCACAUUUGCUUUCUUGACUUUUUUUUUUUUGGAGACAAAGUGAUUUCACAUCAGCCAACAACUUUAUUUAUAUACCCCUCGAUUCAGCGAGCAAAAAAAGGCCACAGCUCAAAGCAGCUGCAAGGACAUGUGCUUUAUCAGGACGUGUGUUUAUGCAUACCUGUGUGUAGUAUGUGUGUUGUGAAUUCCCAAAAGUCUGCACAUGCCACUAACUUUAUAGUAAAGGGUGUUUGUAGCAGAAUUUAUUCAUCUCAGUCAGAUUUUUUCCCAUGCAGAGGAACUUCAACUUGUGCAGACCUUAAAGGUGGGGUAGGCAGGAUUCUGUUCAAGAAGCAUCUUUUUUUGUGGUGUGUAUACAACCAAACUUUUAAUAUCAGUCAUUAGCUAUUAGUUAUUGAUGACAUUUGGUAAUAUAACAAUAUCGCUGUGUGUUGUUUGUUGUGUGUUGUCACUGUACUGUGACGCUGCACUGUUGCACACUUUGUACAUAGUAUUCUAUUUUUAUUCUAUUUUUUUAUUUUGUAUCAUUUUAUUUCAUAUUUUAUUCUAUUUUUUAUUACUUCACUUAGAAAAACACCACUCCGAGCUGUUUUUAAUUUCGUUGUAUGCCUCAUACAAUGACAAUAAAAAGUCUGAGUCUGAGUCUGAGUGUAGUCAACAAUUUAAAUUUUUUGAGCGGCCGCUCUUUCUGACUGUAAACAAAGCUGUUCUCCGCCUCCCCCAACCUUAGUUAGUGUAGAAACUAAGUAGAAACCAACCAGAAAGUUCGGAAAAUUGUCUGAAUCCUCCUUUGGCCACGACUGCCGACACAAGCGAGAAAACAAAGUAAAUACCGGAGACUCUGGCGGAAUAACGGGCGCUUAAAACAGAGGUGGACCGGACAAGAGCUGAAAAGCCGAGUCAACAUCAACGAUUAAUCAAUGGGCGGGGCUUCAGGAUCUUGGUGACCCUGUAACCUUUCUGCUGGACAGGUAAACCGCUUUAACAAAGUAAGACAAGUGUCUGUAACAGAAGUGUUUCUUGUCAAACGGACCUGCUGUAGCGUGUUGUAGUGCCGCUAAACUGUUGACCUCGGGUCCUGGACUAUGUCACUUUAUCCUAGUUGUAGAAGUCCUGCAGACAUUGUGUUUGCUGGUAGUCUGUUGGCAUCUACAGUAGCACCAAUGAUUUUUACUUUAAUUGAAACAAUAUGAGCAAGCAGGAGCGUCUGUUUGUGGGCGGAGCUUGCUGGAGCAGAGACUGAGGGGAAAACUGGUCGGGAGGGGUAGAGUUUACAUUCAAGAUUUCUCCCAAAAACUGGCGCUUCCUCAGAUCCUGCCUACCCCACCUUUAAGCGGUUCAGUCUGUCUGCUGUCCCUCAACCCCAGCUCUAGGUCGACACUUCCCAGAAGGGCGAUCAGAACUUUACAAUUAGUUGAUUGAACCUGCCUCCAGUGAGCCAUCUGCCUGGGCACACGGUGGAACUGAUGUCCUCACCUGCCAGAGGCAAUUAACUCUAAAUACGACUCGCCUCGCUCAUGCAGCGCCAUUCUCCUCCCAGCUGAGAAUAAUAAGGUUGAACUAUGUUGAAAUUGAAGAGGGGGCGGGAAACCUGCUUACGGUCCCUAGAGGGUGAUGGGUAAUUACUUCCGUCAGAUUUAUACUGGCAGUCAUGUGGAAUGGUGGACGACUGUCUUCGACCCUCAUAGGCGGAGGAAAGGCAGAAGAGGUUUUCCGGCUGCGGCGGAUCAACUUGGCUGGCAGGAUGGAGAGGGGGCGAUCAGAGGGGGAAGGGUAGGGCAGCUGGGGAAGGUUAUGUGAUUAAUUGAAGGAGCAGCUCAGGGUUAGUCUUCAUUGUUGGGGUGAUGGGUCAAAUGAGUCCCACAUUGAGUGCGUCACCUGAUGCAUGGCUCGCCCCCUGUCCUCGACAACGCUGAGUGAUGAAGUUGUAACUCAGAGCGCAGAAAGUGAGAAAGAGAUGGAGUCGAGGAGGAGAGCGAGACACGAGGACACCCGAGGAAAAACAGAUUUUGUGGGUUCUCAGACCCUCUCCUUCGACUGACAUUUCAAUUAAAUUGCUAUCACAAGUGCCAAGAGUAUUGUUGACUUCAUAUCUCGCCGAGAUUUUUUUUUUCACUCUGAAGGAUUUGAAUUACUUGAAAAGUGUAGGAAAUGUCCCCAACAAAGGCAGGAGAGGAUAGAAGUGCCAAAGAUAGUCUCAAGCUUCAAUGACAACAAAUAGAUGUCUACUAUUAGAAGGGAUUAGUUUUCACAGAAGAAAGAUAAGAGCCGCGAAGGUGAUUUCCAUCCACCAAAACACAUAAAAUACGACUUAAUGUGAUUCACUUUCUCUGUUCGACAUCAAGACAUUGACAUGCUUCGUUUUUUAUCUAUUUUAAAAUUCCUCAGGGUGUCUGAUGUGAAUGUCACUGCAGCUCUGCUCCCCAUUUCAGCCAUUAAAGUCGUCCUGAAACAUGACGGAUCUUUGAAGCCGCACCCCCGCUCUUCGUCCCAGCAGUGGUUUUCUUCCUCCCUGCCUAAAAAAGGAUGACGUGUACGAGCUUUGUGUCGUAUUUUCGAACCUGUUGUGUCGACAAUAUCGACACUGGCAUGUUUUUCUUUUAAUUCCCUCUCUAUUUUUCUCCUGUUUCUUUUUCUACCAUUCAUAAAACGUCAUUUUAUGUGGCGUGGUUAUCCUGCUGCACGGUGUCCUUGAAAACAACAGUAAAGAUCCACAGAAUGCUAAGAGGCACAUGGCGUAUCAUUGAUAGCAGCAGUGAGCUAUCAAUCUUUUAAACAGAUGGCCUAUCAGUUGCCCGGCUUUGUCCUCACCGUGUCUACUACACCGCACAGAGGUGACCUCUCAGAGAUAAUGCGCAUUAAAGACGACAGUACACGCUAAAUUCACUUUAAAGUAAAAAUGACUCUCCGGAAAGAGGAAAUACAGCAUAUCUGUCUUGCUUUGAUAAUUCUGAUCAUCAUUUUUUCCGUAGAUAAUUAGCAUUAUUUCAUAUAUUUUCAUGCCCUAUUUCUCAGAGGCUAAUGAAAGCUGAGGAGAAGUAUAAAAUAAACGAUGAGGCUAUAAGCAGACGCCCAUUGUUCCUCCAGCACGUCCCGCUUAUCAACAGCUCCAUGUUGGCUUUUACAGCGCAAGAAAAAGCAGCCAUGUCAAUCCUCAUUAAUUCUCCCUGUGAAUUAGAGGCAAAGUAGAUGAUAGGAAAUUAAUGUCUGCAAGGAGAUACUUAAAUUAUUCAACAGUAACAGGAUUAUGAUGAAAGAUCACCACACUAGCCAUUCUACCUCCUCCUUCUUUUCAUGCUUCCUACCUCUUUCUUUUACUUCUGUCAGAUACCACCCGUCACCCUCAUCACAUGUGUUUCUAAUUCCUAUUCAUAACACUUUUGUUCGGCCUAUUUUAGAGCUCAACUCACGGCAAAAGAUCCGCUGUAAGAGCUCAAAACUUAACAGGGACAGAGAGUCAGAGACAUGUUUUAACAGGACACAGAUGCACACAGAGUGAAAGAGGGAGGAGGUCAUCUAAGUUCCUAUAUGAAGCAGGCAAAGCAGGAAUCUCAUCCAAGGAGAGCAUCAGUCAGGCAGUCAGUACAUUUACAUGACACUCGAGAAAACCAAAUUAUUGCCUUAUUCCGGACAGACCGGACAACUGAAGUGCAUGUAAACACCUUAGUCUGACUAUAAUCAGAGUCUGAGAACUCUGAUUAAGAAACCAAGGUUAAUGUGAUUGGAAUUUGAUUUUCUCUACCGUGUAACCAGCAUAGUUGGAGUAUGAUAGGACGAUGCAUGUGUGCGUGCACCAUGCCCCCAUAACCCCGCAACAAAAACACCAGAGAAGAGGAGUAGCAUGCCCCUUAUCGACAGAAAAAGUAGCGCAUACAUCAUGUACGACAAAAACAACGCCGUACUCGUAGCCACUUCUGACGUCUGGCACGGACCUGCUGUUGUUGUUGAUGGUUGUAUGGGGUAAACCAGAAACAGCACCGCUGAAAUGACCCAUAUCGCCCCCUAGUUUUGGGGAGGAGGACAUGUUUACGUCAAUAAUACGAUUUUCUCAGCUGCAUGUAUAUGAGGACAAGGAGAGAAGUCUGAAAACCGAAUUAUGAGCUUAGUCCGAUUAAGCUGUGCAUUUAAAUGCACUGAGUAAUAACUAGUUAUCAAAUAGAAGUCUCAUUGCAAUUUGGUCUAUGAGAAAAAUUCGUCAACUUGGUUCAGGAGAGUCAAUUUUUUUUAAAAAAGAGUCUACAUUGGGAAUUAACCAUAAGUAAGUGCAAUAUUUACCUUUAUCUAUGAAACAAACCACGUUUGUAUGGUGUGAAAUACAAUCCAAAAGAAAUACAAUCCAAAAGAAGUUGGAUGUUUCAUUUUGUGUCUGUGCCCCACUUCUUUUCCAGCGCGGGCUAAUCUGCGCUGAAUUUAUGCAGCAUGCUGCGGCAUCCAGAAAAAGUAGAACCCCAGCGAUCGGCUACGAAGCCCGCUGAACCACAGGGGCUGAAAACUAGCUGGUGGAAUUUGUCACAUUUACUUGAAUGGAAAUGAUCGGCACCUGUGGCCUUUUCGCCACCAUUCUGCAUGCUGCAAAAAAAUCUAUACAUUUUGAGGGCGGGAGGUCACAAGUUCAUACUUGCCAGCAUUAGGUUGUGAAAAAUAGGGACAUUUUUUUUAUUGGUGUAUUGGCCCAAGGAACAAGGUUCCUUCGCCAAGUGUGCACAUAAAUCGUCAUCUUUUCUUGAGUUGAAUUUUAAACCCAAUGAAGAAACCUUACUCUGAAAGAGUUUUCUGCUCCUCCAGUUUGUCUUUGUCAGUCUUUAAGCACAAAUCUAAAAAGUAAGCUAUAAGUUAAAUAUCUUCCUUGAUAUAACUUGCAUUUUUGACGCAUUGUCCACAGGUUGAUUUAAAAGGAUCAAAUAUGAGCAGGAAAGGACAUCUUUGGCAGGAUGAUGUGUGAUCUGGUUGUCUUUGGCAGAAUCACUUACAGGCAUUUGGAUCAAGUAGAGCCACAGAUUUAUCACAACAGGAAUAAAGCCAGGUAAAAAUAGAAAUAAGUAAGGUGUGCACUCUCUGAUCGUCUGCGUUUCAGCAUCUUUUUAAUUCAUAGUUUUGUAUUUCUUUGAUUUCUACAGUUUGUUUUUGUUUUACUGUGUUGCUGUUCAAUCCAGGAUCAAGCAGAAAAUCAGACAAGAACUCAUUCUGGUAAUUUCUUUAGAAUAGAGUCAAAAACAUUUUAAAUGGCAGUUGUUUUGUUCCUAGAACGAAAGCUUGAGAAAUCUUUUGAGAAUUUUGCAAAAACAGGCAAGAGUGAGCUGUGACCCCAGGCAGAGUGACAGACAGAGAGACUGACUGUGGAGGCAUAUGAGGAUAAUAUACAACCAUGGCAACAGAGAUUUGAGGAUGCUGUAUGUGUUCGCAGUGAAUAGACCCGGCGUACGGCUUUUGCUUUAUCUGCGGAGAUGGCCCGACAAAGAUCGCUGUGUGUAUUUUCAAGAACAAAAGCGGCUUAAACAGCUCUGUGCCACGCAACAACAAUAACCUGAAAGUGAAAGAGAAACAUAAUUGCUUAAAUUAGAAAGUGAGUUGAUAUUGCAUAAGUCACUCUGGAUUGAAAAGCGGGGUAAGUUAUGUAACUCGUGGUUUUGCGUGUCUUUUGAUGAACACAGACAAUAAAUCCUGUUUGCCAAAUGAGUCAUUACUGCGAAGAAGCACCUGUGACUUCAGAUGAUCAAACAACCAACCUGCAGGCUGAGAGGAAGCUUUUUACCCACAACUCUACUGUAUAUCAAUCAAACUCUUAUUCUUCACUUUAAGGGGGGUAUCAAGUAUUUUUUUCAGACUCUAUAUUUCCUUUUUUGAUACCUUUUUAAUAACUUAACAUGAUUUUUAGAUCAAUAAAAGCCUCACGUUUCUCACAGCGGUGUAUUAAAAUAUCAUUUUUUCAGCCUCCACAUGAAAUGCUUCGCUUUAGCUGCUGUCUCUUUAAGGCCCCCCCGCCACAAGCCCACUCUCUUCUGAUAGGUCGGCUGAAGGCAGAGCUCGUUGUUUUGGCCCCGCUUCCUCGAUCGUGGUCGAUCAGCUGAGCAGUGAAACAGGGUUACUUCAGUAAAUCUCGCACAUGGACUACGGUCUCGUAUUUGUCCGAGAGUUGAGCAUUUUACAUAAUUUUUUAGGAUUAAAUCAAAAUUUAAAUGAUGAUUUGAAACUUUGCCUCUAUCUAGUUUGGACACCAAACUUUGUAACUUUGGGUUUUUGUUUGUAAUUGUGGAAAAGCAUGAUUACCCCCCUCCCUUUCAAGUGGAAAUGACAGUAUGAUCCGCUCUUACGUGGUUUGAUGUAGGACAAUAAGCACAAUAUGGAAAACUAAAGGGAUCAUGCAGAAAAAAACAGAUAAAUAUAAAUUAUAUUAUAUAUGGUUACCCCGCUCCGCUGUAGGUGUCACUUCACACGCUGUUGGAGGCAGGCCAUUUUUGCAUAUUGGUCCGAGAUUUCAGCAGUUUACAUCUACUUUCUCAGAUUAUGACAAAAUACGUUUACCUUGUGGUUUAAAACUUUGUAUACAUGUAACUUUGCAGUUUUUUGUUGUAAAUGUGAAAAAGCAUGAUACCCCCCUUUAACAAAUGCUGGAUAUAUUCAAUCUUUUAAGGCGAAACAAAUUAGCAAAACUUUGAGCAUUGAAGCCUUUUUAUAGUUUUUUACCCUGUUAGUGAGAUGCAAAAACAAACACAGAUAAUAAACUGCACUUUGUAGCUGCUUCCCUUUGCAACAAGCCUUGGUUGCGAAAUGUUGGAAUUUAAUUUUGGCACGAUCACUGAUAUUGGCAGGAUAGUGUGGUUUCUGUUGGUACAUGAAGUUGGACUUACAUUCAUAUUUUGGAAGCAUUUAAAACGCACACACCUUUCUUUAAGUCGACUGCUUUGAGAAAAGAUUAAUCAAACUCAUAAGAGCUUCAAAGAUACUGCAUGAGUGAGCAAGUUUUGUUGGAAACACCUGUGACCGUGUGACUACAAAAGCAGCUCAGUUUAUCAAUCAGCAGUUCACUGUUGUGACUACCAGAGUCUGUUUGAUCAGACAGGUCUGGAGACAGUUAAAGCUGGUAGUAAGGUUAACAUCUUCGAACAUGGUUUCACAAGACAGUGUCAGGAGAUCUGAUCAGCGAUGAUGCAGAGAGACAUGAUCAGAUAAUGCUUUGAACCUACAAUCCUGUUCAGCAUGUCUGAGGCCACUCUCCAGGAAAAUACUCAUCUAUACCAAGAAACAGGAGCAAAAUCGUUUCUGGUUUUACUGUCUCCAGACUUGUUGUUGAAACUGAACACUUAGGAUAAUUUUUUCCUCCGUGUAAGAAAGAAAUUAUUCCGAAGGCACGUUCAUUUCUACACCGUUAUUGUGUUAUUUCCUACAUAAUCCAUGAGGGAGUAAUAUUCUGUACUCAAACUGUUCUUUCUGUAACAAAGCCUGGUGAAGAAAGGAGUCCUCCCUCCUGUGAGAGAAAAUGUAGCCGCUCACCGCUGCUUUGUCCUUAAGAGGCAGCUCAGGAUGUCUGCAGAGAAGAAACCUGAGGCCGGCGAUGUACAAUGACUGUGCGCUAAUUAUCAACUGCUUCAGUUAAUGGAUGAUAAAUUAUUCAUCUAUCAGGGGUUAUGGAUACAUGACACAGAUCUUUAACAAUGGUACUUCUGUUUUACCCCCAAUUUUAGGGUUUAGCAGUGCAGUGCAGGAGUGUUUGGUUCUAAUAUUGAUGCUAUAGGCUGAUUUUAAAGCAGCUUAUGUGCAAGUUUUCCCUUAUAGUUAAAUUUUCUUUUCUGUAAUCAACCCACAAAGGUCAUAAUGCUGAAAAAUCUUUCUUAUCUAACUUUAAACGAGUUUUAGAUGCGGUUUGAAUAACUGGGUGAACAAAAACAAAAGGGCAUUCCCAAGUCGGAGAGCCUGAGGAAAGGGUAAAUGUGGGGAAUGUGAUAAAUUAGCUCUUAAUACUGGAAAAAAAGGAGGUAAAACAGGGAGGAUAAGAGUAGAUUCUUUUAUUGUUUUCUUGGGGUGGGAGAAGAUGGAUGGAGAGGAAAAAGGAAGAGAGCAGAUGUACAAUAGGAAGAGUAAUUAGACACUGAGAGCAGGGAAUCUUUUACCGCACAGUUAACGCAUAUUAAACCAGCGCCUCUCCUUUGUCUUCUGUUCUACCCAAGUACUGUAAGACGUUUUUAGACUUGCACUUAUAUUGCACUUAUACUACCCAUUUACCUGUUCAUCCACAAAUAACAGAGGACACCACUGUUUUUUUAUUUAGACUAAAGCAGAAAAAAAAAAGUUGUUUGUGUUGAUGAUACGAGGGGGAUGUGGAGGACAGUGUUGUUUCUGUGAGCAGAGGUACAAGUGUUUGCUUUAAUAGUGUUUCUUACGUGUGCUCUGUGAGAAAUAGCCUCUUUUUAAAAGUAGAAAGUGAAGCAUACUCAGGGUAGCAUGAACAGGAUCUGUGCAAUGUUAGCGUCGCGUAUCGCACAGCAAAUAGGUUCCCAUUCUAAUCAACGCAGCAUCGCUCAUGACGCUUAUCAGCUCCGUAUCAGAAGCUCUGCUAAAGAUACGCGUAAAGUCAAUUUUUGCUGCUCUACGCUUCCAACAUGCGUCAGUCUACACAGAGAAGAUCGUUCUAGACAGGUUUUAGUGUCAGUAAAUAAAAUGCCAAUUAAUAAAAUGCAAAUAUAUCGAGAUUUAUAGCUGUAACACAUCAUUGCCCAGUCUUUCAAGUCAAAUCAUAAUGUUGUAACAUAACAAUGUACCAAUAAAUGCUAUAAGUACAAAGUUUUAAUACUUUUCAAAUGGUUGAGUAAAAGAAAUAAUUGAGUGUACCGUGUAACUGCACAGUAGUUUUCUUUGUUUUUCAUGUGGGUUUUAGACGACAAAUGUCGUCACAUGUAUUUUUGCGUUUCCAGUCAACGGUAUGUUAACAGAAGUCAUUUGGAUAUUGCUCGGCUCUGUACUUUGGAGACAGGCAAGAGUUUCUAAGUUUUUUUUCGUGGAUGUAGCCGGUGUCUCUUGUAGCUGCUUCUAUAUGCUGUUUAUUCAGGAGGGACGGGUAAGUGAUCCCUGGGAGCAUUUCCUUAGGCUUAGACAAACGUUCCUUCUCCUCGCGAUAACACCAUUUUAUCACAUUAUGCCACGUUUAACAGUAGAUGCCGUUUUUAUUGGCCAAUUCCACGAUUCCGUUAACGUGGAAAUCACAGGGCCCUAAUCUUACGAUCUCUUCCCUUUAAGUCUGCGUUAGUUACUUGGAGAUAUGCGGCUCUAUACCCUCCAAAUGUUCCCCUAAUAUUGACCAUGUAGUUGCUGACUGUCUGUCUCUGCUGCUUGUUGCUCUGACUGCAGAGUAAAGUGGAUUUAUCAGAGAUUUGUCACAAAAAGAAACAACCUGCUGUCGACCAAAUGUUGUUGAAGCAAAGGGAAAAACAAAACGAAAAUGAGCUGAAACUGUGGAGUCGUUUCCUCUCCACAUCAUCUGAUCAGUUGUUCAUAUGAAAAUGAUGCUGCUUUCAUAAUGAGACAUUACAUUUAGUUUGUGUAAAACGGGUCUCUGUAAAGUGUCUUUGUUGAUUCAUUAGCGUUCACAUGGGAGUCAGGGUGUCUCUACAUGUGUGCGGCUUUUAUUCAGUACUUCAGGUGUUUUGUCUUUGCUGAUACAGCUAAUGUAUUCUGCACCUGCCCGUUAUUGUAAUCUUCCAGAGAUGUUAUUAUCACUUUGAAGCUGCCACAUUAGAGUUUAUCCGAGCCUUUUCAUGUUUUCCUUUCAUUUUUCUAUUAGGAAAUGUAAUGUCUCUCUUUUACUACAGUCACUAUAAACUCACUUUGUUGGCCAGAUGGAAAUUAAAGGGCCUGGAGAUAAGUUGAAUGUUUACAGUUUAACCGAGGAAUAAUGUAGAAACAGAUUAAAUUACGCCCACUUUGGACCUGACUGCUCAUAACCUGUGUCAACUUUAGGACCGUGACCUUAAAGGGAUAUUCCAGCGUAAAUUUAGGUCAUGGUCAAACACACUUUAACACCGAGUUAGACACCCCCUAAUGUUGCGGACCGCUUGCUUCUCUAGUAGCGACCGCACGAUAGCAACACACAGCGGUCUACAUCUCCACGCGCAAACCUCAACCAAAACGCCACUCAUUAGCCACAAAUAAUGCUCAGAACAGCACCUAACUUCAUCAACAGGACAUAUAGGGUCCCAGUCAUACUAGCCAUCAAACAUCUUUUUAGCUUUGCCUAAUUUAUUAGCAAAGAGACUAAACACAACUCACCUACUCUCCUCCAGCAGCCGCUUGUUUGUGGGGGGAGCCCUGACGAGUCGAUCACCGAGAGCACAGGAGUUUCACGGCUCAAGGAAGAAUGUUUGAUUAUUUCUUCAUGGAAAUGCAAUCAGACCGAGAUGCCUACCCCAAAUUUCCACCGCAUCUGGAAUGGCUCCAAUCCAGAACGGAGGCGAUUUUCUCUGUCCGCCAAUUCCUACCGGAUUCGUAUGUGAGGCGAAAUUCGUGGCAGAUUAUGGACAGCGGGGAUUGCGAGAACUCACAAGAACCCAAGAACGGAUUCACGAGCAAUUGCGUUAUAAUGAGUUGUUGGAAAGAAGCCGGUGGAAAUUGACAUAUUAACCUGAAUGGUUACGAUCAGUUGUGAUCGGCAGAUAUGGCCUUUUUUUGUACACGUUCUGGAAGCAGUGGAAUUUGAACGACUACGUCUGCAGAUCAAAAUGAUUAUUAUGAUGAUUAUUACUUUAAGGAAAUGAUCCGCUGCACUCAGUGAUCGACUCGUCAGGACUAUGGCACAUGGUUACAUCAUCAACUUGCAUUUAUCGUAUUUAUCAUGAGAUGGCAAAUAUUUAUCAUGGAGGAUUUUUCCUGACAAUAUAUCGUGAACAAUAAUUUAUCGCCCAUCCCGAAUCGCAAGAACCCAAGAUCUUAAAAGGGACCUGAGCCAAACAAGUUUAUAACCUCAGUUGUUGACUGUUUGUGCCAAAACACAUAAAGAUGACAGACUUUCCAUUUUUAUUUGAUAAAAAGGCUUUAAAACCCAAACCUGAGCAGCCGGAGGGAGCCUCUAAUAACAGCAGCCAACCUGUUAUUCUUCACAGUGUUGCCUCACUGUUCCAGCUCUGCAGUUGUUUCUGCUAAUUUGCUUGUUCUGUUAAAUCCCAAAACAAAAAACAAACAAAAAAGAAAAAAAACCGACCACAUCAGGCAGUUAUGUGCAAAGGUCACAAAUGUCUACUUACCCAUAAAAGCACAUUACACCUUGGAUGGAAAUAUCACCAUCUGAGCGCCGUUUCCUACAUUUCCCCCAGACGCCAUUCUGGCAGAUGUCUAUCCCCUUAAAGAAAAGAGCGAUUGAAUGCUUUACUGAGCCGACAUCUAUUUAAAACCAGCAGAUUGAGUGAGCCAGAUGUCAGAUGUGUUUUCAUAUUAGUCACAGCUCACUGGCAAGGAGGAUAAAGUUGGCUACAUCAACAGGACAUGCUGGCAAACAGCCAGAGUUGUCCAGGCAUACACAGAUGACAGCCCCAUCAACCGAAUGACAAAGCUAGGUGGCUAAGAUAAUGUGAUGUUAUUCAUUGACACUGCAUUUUCCCACUGAGCCAUUCAAAGUGCCAUCUACAUAAAAUACCAAACAGGAAUAUUAAGUGGCUCAGACUGACAGUGUCUCAUUCAUAUUGAUGUUCAGCUGUUUGUAUCAGGCCCGCUUUGACUUUUCCCUCUUUUAACGCCGUCGUAUGAGAAAAGAAAAAAAAAAACAGCAUCAUGCCUGUUUUAAGGUAAAACCUCAAGUGGCCUUCUUGAUUUCUGCCAGGACCACAUCAUAUUUAUUUUCUGAUCUCACCCAUUUCAUCUUGAAGAGCUUUGAAGAAAUGUGACGGAGUGUGUGAGGGGAAUAACCUGACGCAGGCCUCGGGCGUACAUGGUAAACUCUCUUGGUUUUUCAGUAGAGCUGUGCAGCGUGCUCUUCAUGUUAUUUUCGACGGGAGUGUCUGCCUCCAGCAUCUUGGAAGUGCACUUUUAAGAGAAUGAUCCGCACCCUCAGGUUUGAUGUUUUCAGAGCAGAAGAACGGCAUCAUUGGAGCGCUCUGAAAACAAGAAUAUCUGUGGAGGUGUGGCUGCAUAAACAUUCAGACAGUCACUUGUUUUUAGAGCCAUUGCCUGCUCUGGUUCAGCGAUCAAUUUGGAUGAGUGAAUUAAAAAGUACAGUUGUGAUUUCAGUCCAACAUGUAUUUUAAAAGUCCUGUGUUAGUCAAAUUGUUGCAAUACAUCAAAAUCUUCACAUUACCCAUGUCAUUUUUAAGCGCUUUUCUUCUGCAGAGCUCCAGUAGCUUAUUAGCAGUUCACCCCUAUGUCAUGGGCAGAGACAGCGCUGUUCUCCACACUCCUCUUCAUGCUAGCUUGUAGCCUAACAUUGCUGGUGCAGUAGAAGUAGCAAGUAAUAUAGCAGAGUGACCAUAUGUCCUCUUUUACCCAGACAUGUCCUCAUUUUGGGGGCUGUCCAGCCUUGUUUUUGAAGGAGUUUAUAAAAUCCUUUUAAUGUCCGUGGUUUUGGUUAUUCAGCUCUCGAACACUAAUGUCUUUAGCCGCAUAAUGAAAGCUAACAUCAUAAUUAGCUUUGUUAUGCACAUGUUCUGCCAUCGUCCUCUCCACUUCUCCGAGUCUGGCCUGCAGAGUGGGGCGCCUGCAGCAGAGCAUGGACUUGUGAUGUAGAAUUUUGCGCUUAAUUUUUUCAUGAUACGUCCUCUAGCAUCAGAAAAAUGAUAUAUGAACAUGCAGACAACAAGAAAAACACAAUUUUCAUCACACAGUGCCCGUCUGCUGACAGGACUGCUGACAACAUAUUGGUACUACUUAGUAGCUGCGCACGUCCCCCGUAAUUACCCCCAAUAAAAACUGUUGUUCAGGACUGCGGGCAACAUGCUUACUCGUGCUUCCUACCUACUCAGCAACCGUAAUAACUGUUGUUCUAGUCUACAUGCAACAUUUUAGUUCUCAUUCAUGGAACACUUAAAUCGGGGACAUUUCCGGGGACAGCUUUAGCCAGGGACAGGUCAUCCACUACAGGGACUGUCCUCUGAAGUCGGGGACGUCUGGUCACCUUUGUUACGGUACCAUUACCAAAUAAAGUCGCGGGGAUGCUAUAUCCAAGUCAGCUGCUCAAUUGUGAAUGAAUGCUAUUAGCCUGUGUAGUAGAAGAUGAGCUAGCGUCUUGUGCUAGCUUAAUGCUGGACGAAUAGACGACAUGUUGCAGUUCUAGACAUUUUAAAAAAGGAUUGGCUUUUUAAUCUACAAGUACACCAACAGAAAGAGUGAGACAGUAAGAAAACAGCCAUAGGUGUGAAGUGUAGGUAUACUUUGAUUUUUGGAGACAGUUUUAUUUGGGAGAGUAGCGUCACCACUUUAAACCAUAUUCUUGGGAUCUCACAUUUCAACUUUAUUUGUAUAAUUAUUUUUCACUUUAUCCCUGUGCUAUUGCCCUAAAGACUUUAUUCAUGAGCUGCAUUAUGAAUGAAAUUAAUUAUCUUCCUUUAUUUUCUCAUCCGUGCCACCAAAACACUUAAGUAAGCACUCCACCUCCUCUAGUCCUCGAAAUACUCAAAUAUUCAUCUUUUACUCGCACUUGUGUGGAGUGAUUAUUUUCAAAUAUGCAGUAUGUUUGUUUAAAAGAUCAGGAAAAAAGACUGCUCAUAUAGUUUCUAUUAUUGUGCAAUGAAAUUGUAGGGAGAUUAAGUCAAAUACAUUCAGUGAGGAUGAAAGUCUGUCACAUAGAGGUAAAUGAAGUGUAGGCAGACAGAAUGAUUAAAACAAACGGUGUGUAAUCCAGACUGUAUUACAUUAAAUCUAACCAGUGUUUUUUUCUUCGUGUGCAUCUGACUGUGAGAGGAGAAAGCUGACAUAAAACAAAAACACAGUGUAACAGUCAGACUGGGAGAAAAAAAAUAAAAAACAAAUUACAACAGCACACAGGGUGAAAGGUCCACAUUUCUGCUGGAGGACAAAUUUGGCUUGAAGGCGGAAAAAGAGUGAGGUGAGGAUGAAGGUCAGCGCUCUGGUUAACAAGGUCAGCAGAAGGCCGACCCACGGUGCAGCCAAUCCACAGCUAGACACACUCGCCGCUGCAAUAAAAGAUGUCUCUCCAAAGGUCAAAUCAGCGACUGGGAAAAUUGUCAGAGCUUGGUGGUUGUAUUUUUAUGAGAGAAACACAUCCACACACCGAGCAGCAGUAGCACACUGAACAAAUAGAUGAUUUUUUACUCCCCUCAGUGCCGGAUGAGAUUGUUGUUUUUAAACAGAGACUCUCCAGGAGUUUUCCAGCAGAAAGCUUUCAAUUUCAGGAGUAUAAAUGCUCUCUGUAGACAGCUGGCACCUCUGCUGUACGACUAAUGUCUGAGAGACAUGCUUUAAAGCCUUAGUGUAGAUUUCAUCACCGUGGAUCAGACUAAAACGGUCUUUGCUUCGUGUUUACACUCAACCAGUCACGCUUCCAUCGCAUGCAGAUGACACAACGGUCCUUGAAAUCCCGAUGUCUCCCAUUUCUAGCAAACCAGCGAGAUAAGGGCCGUAAUAAUAGCCGCAGUGAUGCAAGCAGUGUAAAUAUUUGCAUAAACGUGGCAGAAAACACAUUAAGGAAAAGCAGGCUGUUUUGAUCACAGCACCUGUCUGCCAUUGAUCUGCAGCCAAUGGACGUUCAGCUCCGGCUCUGAAAGACAAGAUGAGUCACUACAGUGGAGGAGGAAAGAGAGCUUUUCAGUUUUGUUCACAAUGAAGGGUAUAAAAUGUGUGAUACAUAAUGUAAAGAAAAGCCCCGACAGCUAUGUUUUCCACUGAAUAUGACUGUCUAGAUCAGUAGAGAUGAGAGAUACCGAAUCAUAGAGAUGAAGCCUCUCUUAUCCUUGCAGCACAAGUGUGCGACAGAAGCUGGAACUAAAAAGCACACCCAUCUGUGAUGAUGAUGAUGAUGAUGAUGGCUUUGGUGGCGGACAACACGCUCACACACUAACAAACACACCUACACAUUUACAGCAUAUAUUAGGACUUGUAAAAAAAAGUGUGAAAUCGGGGACAUGCCUCUUCCAAAGUAAAUUUUGUGGCGUGCAGGUUGACUGAAAAGACUCCUGCACGCCACAAAAUGGCAAUUAGGUAAAAUCUGGAUGAUCUUAGAUGGAUUACAAGAGGAUUUAAAGUGAUCUCACUCGACCUCAAAAUGAUCUCAGGAAGAUUUCAGUUCAUUCUGGGUGACGUUUGGUGAUCAUGAGCUGAUCUCAGGAGGAUUUCGCAGUGAAUUUAGGCAAUUCAAGUUGAUUUAAGGUUCACAUGACCUGCAAUGGAAAACUUAAAAAAAAAAAAAUAAUCAACUUACUCUUAAAAUGAGACGAAUGAUCUUGUUGCUCCACUGGAUUAUAUUGUAAAACAUUUUUCUACUCUACCUCUGGUUCAUUCUGGAAUAUCUUGUGAAGAAAAAGUUAGCCAUUUUCUCUUAAAAUUAGAUAAUCUUUCUAGUGCCAAACAUGCUUGACAAGAUUAAUAUUAUUUUUGUCCAAAAAAUUAAGACUGAUUUCCUUAAUAUUAGACUGUUUUCCUUUCUUGAAAUUCCUUUUUUGCAGUGUGAAUUAGAGAAUUGAAGAUUCUGUUAAUAUUACUCUAAAAACAGUGAUAUAAGUAUUAUCAGAGGAGAUACUGAACACACAGAAACAUGCACAAACAUUCCUCGUACAUAUUUUGCAUGAUUUAUUAGCUCCGUAUGCCUUAUCUCUAUAUCCAUGACACUAGCCCAGCCUGCCGUAAAUAACCUUGUGUCCCCUCAUUAGUAGGACAGUUGUGUCUCCCCCGGCUUCACCGGCACACACACACACACACACACACACACACACACACACACACACACACACACACACACACACACACACACACACACACACACACCAUCCCCCUGAGACCAGGCCGGUCAUCAGCAUCAUAAAUCCAUGGGGCACAGAGUCUGGCAGUGAGAGCCUGACCGCUAAUUAUACAGACAAGUAGGACCUGGCAUGGAGGUGACCCAGACACUCAGGCUGGGAAACCCUGAAAUAAACAGAGAGAUACAAGCUAAUGGCAAUGCAUUGUGGGUUCUCUGCUUGGGGGGUGAUUUCCCAACUUUUGCCUCAUCGGUAAAAACUAAUAAAUUGAUUGGUUUAAACAAAUAGCUUCAUUUUGUUGGCUGCUUAUGAAAGAAGCUAAGGGUCUUACCUUGUGCUGUCUGGAGGCGAGGCAAAGAAACAGCCUGAGAUAUAACACUCAAGUUGCACGCUUAUAAAUAUUUCAUUUUUAUGCAGAAUCUCAUUUGUCUGACGUUUGUUUUGUGCGCUUCGCCUGAUAAUCCUGUUAUGGCCUCCCAGCACUAGUUUCCCAUCAUGUCAUCAGUUUGUGUUUGUGUAUGUCCACUCAACAUGUCCAGUCAUUUAUUCACAGCCAGAUUCUUCAGUCCACCUAUCCGGCACAAACACUGAGGCCGGCUCCUUUAUUCUUGCAGUGUAUUAACUGUGCGUUCCUGCUGCCAACAUGAUUUCUUCUGUUCUCAAGGAGCAAGUCAACCUCUGCCACUCUCCUGCUGUCUUUAGCUCUCCAGCCAUCACUUCAUCUCAGCCUUACCAGUCUGGUGCCUUUUAAAAUCCUUUUCAACACACUCAGUUGGGUCUGUGUUAGGCAUUAGGUCUACAGGAGGACUGCUGGUUCGGUAAUAGGAACAGAAUACUGACAAAGUGGUUGGAUGUGACAGGAUCUUACUAACAGGCUUGUUUAGCGUUUAAUCAGGUAAAACGAUCAAACUGGGCUGUACUGGUACCCUAUGUAUUAAAGGUGGAGUGGGCAGGAUCUGAGGAAGUGCCAGUUUUUGGGAGAAAUCUUGAAUGUAAACUCUACCCCUCCAAAACAUUUUUUUUUCCCAGCAAGCCCCGCCCACAAACAGACGCUCCUGCUCGCUCAAAUCGUUCCAAUUAAAUUCAGAUAUAUUUCAGACAAAUGGGGCCCAGUCAAGGUGAAAGCAAAAAUCAUUGGUGCUACUGUAGAUGCCAACAGACUACCAGCAAACACAAUGUUUGCAGGACUUCUACAACUAGGAUAAAGUGACAUAGUCCAGGACCCGAGGGAGACAGUUUAGCGGCGCUACAACAUGCAGCAGGUUUGACAAGAAACACUUCUGUUGCAGACACUUACCCGGGAUUUCCACCGCAUCCAGCCAAUGUCCGCCAAUUCCUGACGGAUCCGUUUGUGAGGCGAAUUUCGUGGCGAAUUACGGACAGCAGGAAUCGCGAGAACUUACAAGAACCUGCGGAUUCACAUGCAAUGAACAAGUUGCCACAUAGGCUAACCAUAUAAGCAGUAGAUUAUAUUGACACAUUAACUUGAAUGGUUACGAUCAUCUAAGAUCAGUGGAUACAACCUUUUCGUAGCCGCUCCGGAAGUGGUGGAAAUUGGGGGUUAGCUUACUUUGUUAAAGCGGUUUACCUGUCCAGCAGAAAGGUUACAGGGUCCGUAAGAUCCUGAAGUGUCCCCAAUCGUUUUAUGUUGAUCCGGCUUCUUAGCUCUUGUCUGGUCUACCUUCAUUUUAAGCGCCCGUUAAUCCGCCAGAGUCUCCAGUAUUUACUUUGUUUUUUUGCUUGUGUUGGCAGUCACGGCUAAAGGAGGAUUCAGACAAUUUUCCGUACUUUCUGGUCGGUUUCUACUGUCCAAUAUUGUAGCACGCUAACUUUGUUUAGGCUCGCAAACAUUAUUCGAGGACGUGAAGCGUGCCUCACAACACGAGGGAGCAGCGUCCGCCUCACAACCAAUCAAGUCGCUUUUUUGUAUAUACACCAAAAAAAAGAUGCAUCUCUAACGGAAUCCAGCCUACCCCACCUUUAAUUUAACAUACUGGUGGUGAACAUUAUGUUGAUCAACUUUACAUGGUUAUAAUUUGUUCAACAUCUAUAAUUAGACUCUCCAUAUGUUUUCUUCUUGACAUCUUGCCACUUUUGGCAGCCAUGUCUACUCAUGAACUUCAUUAAAGCAAAGGAAUUAAUGAGCCCAACCUGACUGAGCUCCGUAAUCCGUCACAGCAUAAAUCCUUUUCUGUUACAUGAUCGUUCCAUGGCGCAUCGGUUUGAAACGGUAGAAGUGCAUGAAAGUUGUGUAGUUUACUGUAAAAUUGGUGAUUUCUCGGUUGUCACUGUGAUGGAUUACACAGUUCCAGCAAGUUUGUGUUCAAAAGGUGUUUUAUAAGUUUUAACUUUUACACAACUUCACCACACUUGUAACUUGUUUUAUCAAGACCUCUUUAAUUUACAAGGUAAAAAAUAAAAGGAUUCAAAUCUUGACUCAAUUAUAGACUGACUGAUACCUCUUGUAAAGAUUUUAAAACUGUUGAAACACCAACAGAAUCCAGUUGAUGCCUGAUUUGCUGACAGAAACAUGUCUGGCUGUUACAACGUUGACAAAAUUCGACUGAAUUUUAAGGAUUUUACUCGCCAAGACAAAUAUUAUGGUGCAAAGAGGUGGAAAAAUCCUCUUAACUUGACCUUGGACUUGCGACAAUCAUUAAAUACCAGACAGAGAUUUGAGACUUGGUCACACACUGGUGCAAAGAGGUGUAUUUUUGUCUCAGUAACAUCACAAGGACAGUUUUAUUCCCUCUAAUCACAGCUAAACAGAUGAGGCAGAUCACAGAGCUGCUAGAAGAGGAGAGAUGAAGGUGGCAGGGGCGGAUUCAAGGUUUAGCUCAGGGUGCCCCAGCCCAAGGGGGGUGCCUCCUUCCCCUUCUGAAAUUCAAACAUGCCCUCGAAAAUCCUAAACUUUUUCUGGCUUUUUACCUUUCAUAAAUUGGACUAUUAUUAAAAAUAUAAAUAAAAAAACUAUCUUGGCUCCUCGCUGUGACUCAAAGUGCUCUGUGCUUUGUAAUAUAAGCGCAGCACAUUUCAGUUUUGUAUUUAAAUGAUUACUUCUUUCUUUUUUUUUAAGCUCAUUAAGAUUUAAUUUUGGAAAAUACGGCUUGUGUUGAAACCAUGUGUUACUUUUUAGCUCACUUAAAUUCAUAUCUUACAUAUUUAGAGAUGAAAAAAUAUCAAUUUAACUUGAUGUGAAAUAAGUCAUGUAGUCAUUUUAAAAUCAGUUGAGCCCUCAAUUCAAUGACUGUACAAUUUUAUUUUGUUGUUAUUUAUUUAUUUACUUUAUUAGAGACUCAACUGGGACUUGAAUGAAGUGUUUUGUGCCCAUCUCUGAUAUUAGAAGCCAGUUCUUUGAAAAUGUAGAUCAGACUGAGCCCUUUCUGUUAAUGUUGGCUGUCUAUUUUGGACACUCACUUUGUAUGGUCCCCCCAGGGGGUACGCUCAGCAGGGGGGUGAGAGGCGAGUUUGUCAGCCUCAGCCUGACUGCUGAUAGCGUUACGCUACCGCUGCUCUAGGUAUGUUUUAGGGGAGUCAGGGAAGACAGGUGAUGGCAACCUGCUGCGCUGCAAGGUGCCAUGAAAGAACGGUGAAGAACAUGAAUAAGUGUGGAUGAGUGUUAAAGUGGGUAAGUGCCUGUGAAGGGGACCUGACGAGCAGACUGUGAGUGGGCUGUGUGAAUCCGUAGCUCAGAGGGGGUGAGAAACUGGGGGUAGGAGGUGGAGGUUGGGAGAAGGCCAGGGUGAGACAGCAGCGAAAAUCAGCUGAAUGACUUGGAAGACAUCUCAGUGACAGGACGACACUGGUGUAACCAAACUUCAUAUUUUGACUUUUGAUGGCAAGACGCCAUCAAAAAGUAACAAUUAUUGUGAGAUUUCAUUUCCUUUAUGUUAAGCAUAAAACAAAUAAUACUUUUCCUCUUAUUUGUUGUAAACAUGGUUGAUGAAGUAUUAUUAAAAAAAAAAAAACACCAUAUUUAUAAUUCCCAACUCAAUUAUCCACUCAACGUAAGACAGUUUCAGCUCCUGCCACAUUCGCUUCAUUCACCCCGCCAGAGUACGAGCUUUUAAUCAUGUCUUUGCAUUGACUUUACAUGUAAUUCAUCCGUGUGAAUGAUUUUACUCGGGCUUGGUGUGUGGAGACAGUCACACAGAGCUCCUUCAGAAUAAAAGUAGUUAAUCAUAAAUAUAUUUUUGUUUGUUAUAUCUCUGCCACUAGAUAGUUGAUCUGACCAGAUUAUACGGCGCACAGUGAAUUAACGUGUCUACUUUCACACAUAAAGCGCUCCGGAUUGCAAGGCGCGUUAAGCAUUGGCGCAUUGAUUGGUUUAUUGUUGCUAGCAUGUACUCCGGGCCCGGGCUGCUUUACAUGAAUCCACUUCUAGUUUAGACAUUAUAGUCAGGCGGUCUUGUAGACUGCUCAGGGGUCCUGUUACGGGGCCGAUCAGGUAGUGACACAGCGUAAUGUAGUGUUUUGAAUAUCCAUUGAGCGAUGCCGCGUCAUUGUUUACCAAAGUCGUAUUUAUACAUUUCGACAGAUUUUUGAGCGCAUUGUACCAGAUAAAAAAUCGGUCAGUAAGCACAACAAGUAAUCAUACAUAAGACGCGCUGGAUUAUAAGGUGCACUGUCAAUUUUUGAGAAAAUUAAAAAGGAUUUUAAGUGCGCCUUAUAGUCUGAAAAAUACGGUAUUCCACUUUUUUCCUAAUAGAUCUCAGAAUGGAGAAUGAAAACCUCAAGUUGUGGUGUCAUAUCCAAACAUGCAAAUGUGAAACAAAAGUGUCUCGAUCUCAGACCUCAUCACCGUUUUUCCCCCUUGUCCACCCGGCCCCCCUGGACUUUUGUCAGUGCAGGUUCCUGGUGCAAUCAGUUCUGCAUUCUGCAUGUCACACAGCAGCUGUCUGCAUUCUGACAACCCAAUCAACAGGACCAGCAGGAAACCAGCGGCAGCUAACCACACUCACUGUGAUAUCACGGUCCAGCUGGCAGCCAAUGCAGAUUCAGGCCUUAUGUAUUAUGUAGCAGAGACAACACCUUCCUUUUAUUUAUUUUUAAGGACACUAUUUUCCCCAGUUCUCUUCCUUUUUUAUUCUUCUGUGGGGGAAUUUAUUUAAAAAAGAAAACAAACAAUAGUUUAGCUUCUGAUGCCAACAAUGCAAGUUAUGUUUUUCCAGAAAUUCAGCUGGAGGUGGUUCAGGUUGGGUUCAGGUACCGGCACUUCCCUGUGUGCCAAAAGGAAAUAAGCAAAACUGAAAAACAGCCCAGAGAAAAACCUCUAAAUCAAAUAGUUGUAGCAGCAAAACUAAACCAAAACAAAAGCUGUCUGUGAGUGAUACUUGAGCAGUAAACCAGCAGCUGAUUCUGCACAAAGAGUGGAUGGAAAUUAGAGGUCUGACUCCUGCCAUCCCAGCAGUCAUCCGACAAAAACCAUUUUAGUGACACUGUGCUGUGAAUGAAUCUGCCAACUGCCAACCUCCCACCUCACACCAAUCACAGAGGAGAACCAGCCUCAUUAUUCAGGACAAUUAGCCAAUGGGCUGGGUGUCUACUGUCGUUACCCAUGGCUCAUUUGGUCUCAGUCAGAUGAGAGUGCCAUGUCCACUCAGGCUGUGUGUCACUCUGGGGGGCUGACGCAGACAGACCAAAGAGCGGCAGUCGGCUUAAAAAUCACACCAGUCAGGAGUACAGUCUGGUUUUUUUUAGUGUUAAUGUGAGCAAGCAGAGGUUUAUUUCCCCAAAAGCACGUGCAGAUGAAGACUCUGCUGUGAAAGGUAACUAAAAAGACAAAAGACAGCAUCGUAAAGGAGUAAGUUUGCAACUUUGAUGAAACAUGAGGUACAGUUUGCUGCAGCCUCACAGCCCAGCAGGAUGUGCUGAUGUGAUGACAGUCAGUGAUGCUUCAGGCAGCAGUCAUGGAAACACACACACACACACACAUACACAAAUAUACAUGCAUGACUUAUCUCGUUAACACUCCUCCCCCACCAGUCUGGCGUCAAUGUGUCGUCCAGUAACCCACAGUUGGAAGGUUGGAUGCUCUGCACCUACCUCUUUCCAUCCCUUAUGGUUUAUGCUCCACAAUUUGUGCGUUUAUUUUUGAGGAUGUGAUGCAGGCAAACGAAAAAAGUGGGAUUUUAUUCCCAUAAAGCCGGCUCUGUUUCUGAAAUCCAUUAUCAAGCACAGAUGUCACCAAAGUCCUAGUCGUAUAUCUAUCAAUCAGACAAAUCGAUAACGCAUAAUGUGGUACUCAGAAAAACUUUACAUCACUUUAGUAAGUAUAAAGAUGAUAUAACUUCAUGGUGGGAUUAAUUCUUAAUAAACUACAGAUAUCAGCUACUUGGACGGUGUAUUAUAAUUUAAGUUUUAAAAAUGGGUUGAUGAUAUCUCUGUUAUAAUCGUGUCUCCGGGAUUCUGGAGAUAUCACAGAGGUAUUAAUCUUAGUUAUUCCCACAUGUCAGAUUCCCAUUUUAGAUAUGAUAAAUCCUCAUACUGAAAGGUUAUAAGUGUAAUAAUUAUUCCUUAAAGAAACAUUUGUAUUAAUUGAAAAUAUAAUAAGAUAGAGUCGGGUGAGUCUGACAUUAUCUUAAACUUUGAAAGCUGGUUGUUAAGAGACAAGAAGUGCAUCUACUUCAUCUAUCACAGAGCAAAAGUUUCUCUUCUUUAGUCGUAUAGUUUGUUUAGCAACUAUGAGUAUAUAUGAAUAUAAUAAUAAUAAUAAUAAUAAUAAUAAUAAUACAUUUUAUUUAUAGGCGCCUUUUAGGACACUCUUACUCUGGACAAUUAAAAUAAGUAAAAUAUCAGCAAAAUAUCAGCAAUCAAAAAGUUUUGAGGAAAAAAAAAGUUUUAAUAUCUAUUUAAUGUAUUUUUUAGAAAAACUGUGUCAUAACUGUGUCGUUUUUCCAGUCUAGUUUCAAAAAUCAAAACAGCAACAACCAGCAGUCCUGAGGGGUGAACUAUGAAACAGGGUUAUUUUCAUCGAAUAUUACUCGAAUAUGUGUUUCUUUAAACAGCAUAGUUUUCGUUCUGUGACGUUAGAGUUCAAAAUGUUCCCACACUCAGAUUACAGCCGAGACUUUGAACUGCCAGCAGAGAACAUCACAGGGUAAAAGUCAGUGAAAGGACGUCGACAUGCAGCCAAGUAAUGAGUUUAGAGGAGGUUACCAUGGUGAUCGAGACAGGUUAAGGCCAGCUAUCCACCAGAGGACUUUGAGAAGAUUUGGAAAAGACUCCUGGAAAACUAUCAGCGCACACCUGCUGACAUCUAAAGACAAGUGUUUAGAGUUUUCAGUCACGGCCUCGUCUCAAACGGAGAGUUUACAAAGACUGUGAAUCUUGUAGGGUCACUAUUUACAAGACUACAACUAGAUUCUAGAUUCUGGGGGCGGUGGCCAUUAAUCGGUUUUAUGUUCGCUAAUGCUAACACCCGUGUGCGCCAUACACUGAUACAUACUGAGUCCAAGGUAGCCUGUAAAAAACGUAAUUGUUGAGGUGUAGCGGUUUUUAUUUAGCCACAGCGGCACAUUUUUUCAGGAUGGCAAAACUCUGAAAUGUCUGUCAGAAGGUUCUGCGCCCAAAACAACCUGAGGAGAAAAGGACACGUCAGAUACGUGCCGUAUGAGCGCUGAAUAUUUCUCGAGUCCAGCCAUAACACCAAAGC